This 249-nucleotide unclassified non-coding RNA is filed under the name uncultured Ascobolus. RNAcentral describes it as "sequence contains 5.8S rRNA gene". The stretch from base 1 to 53 matches the Rfam family "5.8S ribosomal RNA", at positions 102 to 154 of the family's 154-position model. Lineage: Eukaryota; Fungi; Ascomycota; Pezizomycetes; Pezizales; Ascobolaceae. The record is from RNAcentral.
GAACGCACAUUGCGCCCUUUGGUAUUCCAAAGGGCAUGCCUGUCUGAGCGUCAAUAAAGUAAUCAAACCUUGGUUUGGUAUUGGGAGAAGUGGUAUUGCCUCUCUCCUUUAAGUUAUUGGCGACGCUAUUUCAGCUUGUAAGACGUAGUAAGUAAUUUCUCGUUAAAGCAACUGUAUAGAUGUCUGCCAACUGAACAAUUUAUUUUAUAAGCUUGACCUCAGAUCAGGUAGGGAUACCCCCUGAACUUA